CAUCACAGAUCCAGGUAAUGGAUUGAUGUUCGCUGCCUUCUAAGAGUCUAGAUCUAUCACAGAUUUACUCAGGUACAUGCAAAAGAUCCAAGAAUUUUUGAUAGGUGCAGUUAGGAUUUCCUAACAAGUCUUGGGCUGUGCAUGAGAUAUAAGAGAGUGGGAGUCACGUGAAGUAAAGAAACUGAGAGAGAGGGUGUGCAGAAAUUGAGUUUGUGCAUGAGAGGAGUUAGGCAUGUGGAAAUG
RNAcentral lists this long non-coding RNA (243 nucleotides) under Elaeis guineensis (African oil palm). Its description in RNAcentral is "long non-coding RNA (EGUI_LNC047664)". Lineage: Eukaryota; Viridiplantae; Streptophyta; Magnoliopsida; Arecales; Arecaceae. The record is from RNAcentral.